GACGGGCCCGCACAAGCAGCGGAGCGUGUGGUUAAUCGAUGCUACACGAAGAACCUUACCAGGGUUUGACAUACAAGUGGUAGAGAAGCGAAAUCGGACCGACCUUCGGGAGCUGUUACAGGUGUUGCAUGGCUGUCGUCAGCUCGUGUCGUGAGAUGUUCGGUUAAGUCCGCUAACGAGCGCAACCCGCGUUGUGUGUUAUAUGUGUCACACAAUACCGCCGGUAUUAAGCCGGAGGAAGGUGCGGAUGACGUCAAGUCAGCAUGACCUUUAUAUCCAGGGCUACACACACGCUACAAUGGACAGUACAACAGGUUGCCAAGCCGCGAGGCGGAGCCAAUCCUCUAAAGCUGUCCUCAGUUCAGAUUGCAGGCAGCAACUCGCCUGCAUGAAGUUGGAGUUGCUAGUAACCGCAGGUCAGCUAUACUGCGGUGAAUACGUUCCCGGGGAUU
RNAcentral lists this ribosomal RNA (452 nucleotides) under uncultured Anaerolineaceae bacterium. RNAcentral describes it as "bacterial SSU rRNA". It matches the Rfam family "Bacterial small subunit ribosomal RNA", at positions 920 to 1378 of the family's 1533-position model. Lineage: Bacteria; Bacillati; Chloroflexota; Anaerolineae; Anaerolineales; Anaerolineaceae. The record is from RNAcentral.